RNAcentral lists this ribosomal RNA (253 nucleotides) under uncultured bacterium. RNAcentral's name for it is "partial 16S ribosomal RNA". It matches the Rfam family "Bacterial small subunit ribosomal RNA", at positions 524 to 776 of the family's 1533-position model. The record is from RNAcentral.
UACGGAGGGUGCAAGCGUUAUCCGGAUUUACUGGGUUUAAAGGGUGUGUAGGCGGACUUUUAAGUCAGCGGUGAAAUCUCCGGGCUCAACCCGGAAACUGCCAUUGAUACUAUUUAUCUUGAAUUCUGUUGAGGUGGGCGGAAUACAUCAUGUAGCGGUGAAAUGCUUAGAUAUGAUGUAGAACACCGAUUGCGAAGGCAGCUCACUAAACAGACAUUGACGCUGAGGCACGAAAGCGUGGGGAUCAAACAGG